Molecule: ribosomal RNA, 465 nt
Filed under: Vreelandella stevensii
Lineage: Bacteria; Pseudomonadati; Pseudomonadota; Gammaproteobacteria; Oceanospirillales; Halomonadaceae
Description: partial 16S ribosomal RNA
Rfam family: Bacterial small subunit ribosomal RNA
Source: RNAcentral
CCUACGGGUGGCUGCAGUGGGGAAUAUUGGACAAUGGGGGCAACCCUGAUCCAGCCAUGCCGCGUGUGUGAAGAAGGCCCUCGGGUUGUAAAGCACUUUCAGUGAGGAAGAACGCCUGGUGGUUAAUACCCAUCAGGAAAGACAUCACUCACAGAAGAAGCACCGGCUAACUCCGUGCCAGCAGCCGCGGUAAUACGGAGGGUGCGAGCGUUAAUCGGAAUUACUGGGCGUAAAGUGCGCGUAGGUGGCUUGAUAAGCCGGUUGUGAAAGCCCCGGGCUCAACCUGGGAACGGCAUCCGGAACUGUCAAGCUAGAGUGCAGGAGAGGAAGGUAGAAUUCCCGGUGUAGCGGUGAAAUGCGUAGAGAUCGGGAGGAAUACCAGUGGCGAAGGCGGCCUUCUGGACUGACACUGACACUGAGGUGCGAAAGCGUGGGUAGCAAACAGGAUUAGAUACCCUUGUAGUC